UGGUUUGGAAGACUGAAGUGGAAACCUUGGGAAGGUGGGCCUCAGAGUAUGUCAGCUGGGGUCAGACGGGAACAGGAGUCUGGCUCAACACACAUUUAUUGCACUCCUGCUUCAUGCCAAGAAAUGCACCAAAAUCUGGGACUGUGUAACACAGCAAAGGAAAAGACUCAUCUCCAGGAAGCCCCCUUGUCUAGGAAGAGAAAUUGAAUAUCAGCAUAAGGUGGUGAAAAGCUAUGAAGGAGAUGAGUGCCACGAGUCCAUGGAGGAAGGAUUCUAGCCUGGACAGAGUCUCCAUGAAUUGCAAGGGAAAACAAGUGGUACACUGGCAUUUCUAUUUGAUAACCUGUUCUCUUUGGAAUUCCGGUUAGAAAUCAAAGGCUUACUUGAGUUUUAAUGCUUGCAGGACUUCAAAUGCUUUUCUAUCUUCCUAAUAAUAUAUUAACAUUUUCUGAAGACAACAUAUAUCUGGAAAACAACAUUAUUUACUCAAAUAAUUUUUUUUGAAAAAUGGACCAAAAAAAAAAAAAA
Molecule: long non-coding RNA, 528 nt
Filed under: Pan troglodytes (chimpanzee)
Lineage: Eukaryota; Metazoa; Chordata; Mammalia; Primates; Hominidae
Description: lincRNA
Source: RNAcentral